CAGCAAGUUCAGAGGAAGGUAGUCUUUUUACAGUGACAGAUUUUGCUACUUGGGGGCCAGCAUGGAGCUCAUCUUUGCAGAUCAGUUUUUUUCCAAAAAUCCAUGAACUUCUAAGUCACAUUUCAAAGGCGGUUUCCACCCAUUGCUUGUCCUACAUUCUGGUGCUUUGGACUCCUUCUUCUUUGUGGCAGCCCCUGUAUAUCAGGGUAUAUCAGGACAAAUUGGGAUUCAAUUGGAUGGAAGAUCAAGAGUUCAAGAAUUAUGGAUUCUAAAAUUCAUGAUGGUGGGACUUGAAUAAGAGAUAAGAACCA
This 311-nucleotide long non-coding RNA is filed under the name Naja naja (Indian cobra). RNAcentral describes it as "lncRNA (ENSNNAG00000002071.1)". The record is from RNAcentral. Lineage: Eukaryota; Metazoa; Chordata; Lepidosauria; Squamata; Elapidae.